GCAUAUCAAAUAAGCGGAGG
Molecule: ribosomal RNA, 20 nt
Filed under: Coprinellus disseminatus
Lineage: Eukaryota; Fungi; Basidiomycota; Agaricomycetes; Agaricales; Psathyrellaceae
Description: partial 28S ribosomal RNA
Source: RNAcentral